RNAcentral lists this long non-coding RNA (765 nucleotides) under Rattus norvegicus (Norway rat). RNAcentral describes it as "long non-coding RNA NONRATT006694". Lineage: Eukaryota; Metazoa; Chordata; Mammalia; Rodentia; Muridae. The record is from RNAcentral.
AUUAGUAGAUGGGUGGGUCAAAGCUGUGGGGACGCUCUGGAGCAAAUGUUUUAUUUUGUAUCAGACAGAGGGUGGGCAGGACCAUUUUUGACAGGUUUUCAUCACACUUGUAGAUGGUCCUGAUUGCUCUGCAGGAAGAUGUACAGGCAAGACGAACCCAGAGGAAGCUGUUCUAUUUGUUUUCUUAGCCACAUUGAAUUUGAUUCUGGAACCUUCUUUUCUGUGAAUUCUCUUCAUUUUUAGUGGCUUUGUUUUUCUUUUUGGUUUGUGCUUUGAAGACUCACUUUGGUUCUUGGUUCUGCAUGACUUUCUGAUGUUGAAAAUCUAUAUGAGAAAUGUUUCUACCAGGCAGAUUUGGGAAGUAAUUUUGUUAAAAGUUUGAGUUGUGCAUUUUGAUGCCCAGGAACCAUUGACUUCAAAUGUACCCAUGGUGCACUCUACACAUGGAGGCUGUGUCCUCAGUGUUAAACAUGAAGGCAGAGGAAAGCCUUUGCCUAACAUUUUCUUUUCAGAAAAUAGCCCGACUCACCUUACUGAAUUGAGUUUUUUCUAGGAAUGAAAUCAAGAGGAAUAAAUGAAGCUGUCUCUGCUCCAGCUCGAGUGAGUCACAGGGACCAGGAGUGGUAUGAUGCAGAAAUUGCCCGGAAAUUGCAAGAAGAAGAACUUUUGGCUACUCAUAUGGACAUAAGAGCAGCUCAGGUUGCCCAGGAUGAGGAAAUUGCUCGACUUCUGAUGGCUGAAGAAAAAAAAGCUUACAAGAAAGCC